GAUGAACGCUGACAGAAUGCUUAACACAUGCAAGUCGACUUGAACGUCGGUUUGGGUGGCGGACGGGUGAGUAACGCGUAAAGAACUUGCCUCACAGAUAGGGACAACAUUUGGAAACGAAUGCUAAUACCUGAUAUUAUGAUUAUAUGGCAUCGUAUAAUUAUGAAAGCUAUCUGCGCUGUGAGAGAGCUUUGCGUCACGUUAGCUAGUGGGAGAGGUCACGGCUCACCAAGGCGAUGAUGGCUAGCCGGCCUGAGAGGGUGAACGGUCAAAAGGGGAAGGAGAGACAGCAGUUAGGCAUACGCGAGGCAGGGGGGGGGAAUGAUGGAGCAACGACGAGGAGGCUGAGCCAGUCAUUGGGUGGGAACGAUGAAUUUUUUGGGAAUGAAAAGUGUUUACGGUUGGGAAGACAAAAUGACGGUACCAACAGAAGAAGUGACGGCUAAAUACGUG
RNAcentral lists this ribosomal RNA (453 nucleotides) under uncultured bacterium. RNAcentral describes it as "partial 16S ribosomal RNA". It matches the Rfam family "Bacterial small subunit ribosomal RNA", at positions 28 to 507 of the family's 1533-position model. The record is from RNAcentral.